This is a long non-coding RNA of Gadus morhua (Atlantic cod), 604 nucleotides long. RefSeq lists it as uncharacterized. NCBI's taxonomy places the organism in Eukaryota, Metazoa, Chordata, Actinopteri, Gadiformes, Gadidae. The transcript has 5 exons. The record is from RefSeq and is a predicted model, not a curated record.
GGUAACUGCUCGGCAUACGCGUUCAUUAGAAUUUCCAAUUCCGUGGGGAAAAGUAAGUGGAUCUCCGCUUUUGGUCCAUGUUUGAUCAUGUUAUCAGAGAUCCAUUGAUAAUGGCUCUUUAUAGUUAACAGGCACGCCCCCAACCCAGCGUGAACACACUCCGAGUUGAUUAAGCCAACGCUGAUCGCCUGUUCUGAAACCGAAAACCCAGAGUUGCUUUUCAACCCUGAACUCUGAGUCAACCAACUCAGAGCGCAGGAUUAAACUCAGAGUAUGUUAAACCAGCUACCUGAAACAGGCCUCUGGGCCAUGGAAAGAGACGACUGGUUUGGACAUCGAGGGCUUUCCACGGAAAAAGUACGGCACCGACUGUGGCAUCUUCAUGUUGAUGCAUGUCCUUUACAAAGUGAUGGAUGCACCCUUUGACUUCACUGUUAUUGAUAUGCCGGCAUUGAGAAAAUGGUGGUGUAUCAUGCUGAUCGAAAAUCUUGACCUUGGAAGCCAUGGCAAACUCUUUGCCCACUGGACCGACGCAUCUAAGGCUCUUCUUCGGGGUGAGGUGCAAUGAGUUUUUAAACUGAAGAAGAGAAGGCGAGAUGACAUU